UGCGUAGGCGGGAUGAUCAGUCAGUGGUGAAAUCCUACAGCUUAACUGUAGAACUGCCAUUGAUACUGUCAUUCUUGAGUACAAAUGAAGUGGGCGGAAUGUGUCAUGUAGCGGUGAAAUGCAUAGAUAUGACACAGAACACCGAUUGCGAAGGCAGCUCACUAAACUGUAACUGACGCUGAGGCACGAAAGCGUGGGGAGCGAACAGGAUUAGAUACCCUGGUAGUCC
RNAcentral lists this ribosomal RNA (229 nucleotides) under uncultured bacterium. RNAcentral describes it as "partial 16S ribosomal RNA". It matches the Rfam family "Bacterial small subunit ribosomal RNA", at positions 568 to 796 of the family's 1533-position model. The record is from RNAcentral.